UACAGAGGUCUCAAGCGUUGUUCGGAAUCACUGGGCGUAAAGGGUGCGUAGGCCGCACGGUAAGUCAGAGGUGAAAUCCCGGAGCUCAACUUCGGAAUUGCCUCCGAUACUGCCGUGCUUGAGGACUGGAGAGGAGAUUGGAAUUCACAGUGGAGCAGCGAAAUGCGUAGAUAUUGUGAGGAACACUAGUGGCGAAGGCGAAUCUCUGGACAGUUCCUGACGCUGAGGCACGAAGGCCAGGGGAGCAAACGGG
This 253-nucleotide ribosomal RNA is filed under the name uncultured bacterium. RNAcentral describes it as "partial 16S ribosomal RNA". It matches the Rfam family "Bacterial small subunit ribosomal RNA", at positions 524 to 776 of the family's 1533-position model. The record is from RNAcentral.